RNAcentral lists this ribosomal RNA (423 nucleotides) under Triticum aestivum (bread wheat). RNAcentral describes it as "partial small subunit ribosomal RNA". Lineage: Eukaryota; Viridiplantae; Streptophyta; Magnoliopsida; Poales; Poaceae. The record is from RNAcentral.
AUGGCGGACAAAGGGGCGCAGGACAUAACUAUUGACGACAUGCAGCCUGCUGUUUUCAAGGCAUUUCUUCACUUCAUCUACACGGAUUCAUUGCCUUCCAUGGACGAUCUUGAGGAUGAUGACAAAAGAGAAAUGUUUAAGCACUUACUCAUGGCUGCAGACAAGUAUGCGACGGGAAGAAUGAAGAUGAUAUGUGAAGGGAUGCUAUGCAAGUGUCUUGACGUUGAGACCGUGGCGACCAUCUUAGCUCUAGCUGACCAGCAUCAUUGCAGCAACCUGAAGAAUGCUUGCAUUGAAUUUAUGUUCUCUUCGAAUAAAAUGGAUGAUGUGAUCGCAAGCCAAGGGUAUCUGCACCUCAAAAGAUCUUUUCCUGGUCUUUUUGUAGAGAUGUUUGAGAGAAGUGUCAAGUCCCGCAAAAUUUAG